GAAAACGAGCAAGGAGAAACCUUUUUGGAAACGUAAGUUGUUUAGCUGACAAGAUUUAAUUUCCACGUUGCAACACUGAAGUAAAUAUUUAAGAAAAAAUAAGGCCAGAGUGAUAUAUUGUUUCGCAUAAGAACGAAAAAAACUCUGGUUAUUCUACGAAAAAUCACACUUGGGAACUUAUUAGUGUUAAAAAAAGUGGUAACUACUUUUUUACGACCGUGCUACGCACCUGGAUCGGAUGACGUCAUUGCACGCGGGUGGUAUAUUACAGAAUAACCCUAGUCAUAGCCUCUAUGCCGUCUAAACAGCUGAUCGCAUGUACUGACAUGCUGCCGUUUGACUGAUGCCCGAUAUGGAUAGCCGAAUUCAGAGCUCUAUGUAUAGAUCUAAGAAUAACCCGAGAUAGUUUUUGCUCUACAUGUCAUGUAUUAUAUGCUGGUCGUGUUAGAAUGGACUUUAUAGUUCAUUUUUCUACAUAUUUCAAACUGUUUGGAAAUCAGAAAUUAUGUCCGAAAUUUUCUGUUAUGCUUUAUACGAUGAUAAAAUUUUGAGACAAGGUGAGUUUCUUUUUAUUUGGUGGGGGGGGGGGGGUGGUUAACGCCGUUUUUCAACAGUUGUUUUUUUGUUGGGUUUAACGUCGCACCGACUUUCCAGCUUUGAUGGUGGAGGAAGACCCCAGGUGCCCCUGCGUGCAUUAUUUCGUCACGAGCGGGCACCUGGGUAGAACCACUGACCUUCCGUAAGCCAGCUGGAUGGCUUCCUCACAUGAAGAAUUCAACGCCACGAGUGAGGCUCGAACCCACAUAGAUGAGGGGCAAGUGAUUUGAAGUCAGCGAUCUUAACCACCCGGCCACGGAGGCCCCUGGUUUUCAACAGUAUUCCAGUCAUGUAACGGCGGGCAGUUAACCUAAACAGUGUUCCUGGAUUCUGUACCAGUACAAACCUGUUCUCCGCAAGUAAUUGCCAACUUCCCCACAUGAAUCAGAGGUGGAGGAUUAAUGAUUUCUGACACAACGUCGUUUAUCAAAUGAUCACGGAGAACAUACGCCAGCCCGAGGAUCGAACUCACGACCCCGCGACCCGUAGACCGACGCUCUACCUACUGAGCUAAGCGGGUGGGUAGUACCUUGCUUAAUCAAUCCUUAAGGCUCACUUCCCAUGAUAAAGAGGAUGCCUCAGUGCGUAGGUAUAUCUAACUUCACUUAUAUUCGCCAGCUUUUGACUCAUACAGGUAAGUAGGUUUUUAAAUAUUAACUAUACAUUUGUGUAUUUAGCUACUACUGAGGUACUACUGCUCACUAUGGUAAGUGAAUCCAACUUUAGAUUUUCAGUGUUAUCAACUUCCACGCAAGGAAAGAAUCGCCGUUUAUGAAACAAGAUUGAUUGACUUACAUCUGUAAUGAGGUAAAAACAGACAGAAUAAGUCAAUUUUAGCUAGACGUUAUUUAAAGCCUAAGUAGAUAUGAAUACCACGAAACAAAGCUGUACAAUGACUGACCUCAGGAGCAGAUUUACAUGAUAUAUUGUUUGACGAGUGAUUGUAACUGGCUCCGAAUCACUUACCUACCCAUCACCCCCAACGAUGUGGACUCGAAACCUCGUUCGAAACCUCGUUUUAAGUGUAGAAGCCAGCCAGCAGCCUUAAGAGGAUCGGUGUUCUACCCAGUUGCUCGUCCAUGCCUAAAGGAACUUUACCGUCAAAGUUUAAGGUCGAAAUAUGAUCUUAUUCAGACUUUUGAUUUAGAUUUUCACCCUUAUUUAGCAUUUGUAACCAAAACAUUGAGAAGACAGACAUGAAUUAUAAAGUUCUUUAUUGUUGUUGUUGUUAUUGUUGUUGUUAUCAAAUAUGACAAGAUCUUGUUAUUGUUUGUAAUUUUCAGGUUUCAGGUCCAAGAUGACAAUUUCGUUUAUAUGUGGAAGGCUGGUGGGCUGCAUUAAUUGCUAAGCGCGAAUUUGAAAAUGCGAAUUGCCAAAAAUGUUUUUAACAAAAUUACAGAUGACAAGUUACAAAAAUAUAUGAAUCUGAUAUUUACUUUUGACGGAUGUAAUAUUUGUGUUGUUAAUGUCAAUUCCAAAAUUUCUAGGUCAAAUGCAAAAUGACUAUUACUAAAUGCAAAGUGCGUGUUCCAAAAUACAAAAUUUAAUACAUACUACAUGGUUUGUGACAAAAUUGUAUCCAUAUCAUUAAAAUGCUUUGUUGUCUAGCUAACAUUCUCUGUAAACACGUGCGAUACAAGAAUAUGGCAUUUGAUGCGUUGCAAUUAACUUGGGGCAUCCAUUUUCCAUAUAUGUUAAAUGUAUAAUGAUAAAUGCCAAAUUCUGGUUAUUCUUGAGCAGGAUCAUGGUGAUGCUGACGGGGACGGAGGCAUGAUGCAGUUCCUUGCAGAGGAAGAUAGCCUACCUGGUGUGGAAGAGGCGGUUGAAUUUUCCACCCUACACUACGACAACCUGAGGAAGGUAGGAGAGGGGACGUUUGGAGAGGUGUUUGUCGGGGCGAGCAACGGCGAGGAGAAAGUCAUCAAAGU
Mercenaria mercenaria is the source of this 2525-nucleotide long non-coding RNA. RefSeq lists it as uncharacterized. Lineage: Eukaryota; Metazoa; Mollusca; Bivalvia; Venerida; Veneridae. The transcript is spliced from 3 exons. The record is from RefSeq and is a predicted model, not a curated record.